GAAUAAGACUUUUUCAAAAUUUGGUGUCUUGUUUUUCAGAAAGGGGGCAACUAACUUUUUCUCCCAGAAUUAGUUUGAAUAAUGACACUUGACCAUCUCUUAGAUUCAGUGAUUGUAUGUUAUUCCUCUGCUCAAUUAUGUAUUCUUUGAAGCCAUUGUCUUUUCAGUAUGCUUAAUUUCCUUUAGGUACAUUAAAACCUGACUCAUUUGAAAGAUAAAACAGGCCAAGCUAAGUCAGUAUAAAGUUUAAAAGAAUUUGACUUUUAAAAUAUUGAAUCAACUUCUGACCUAAACUAGAGACAUAGGUGGACCUGCUUGAGUAUCUUGGUUUAUAUAGAAAAUGGUUUUUUUACAUGCUUUUUUUUUUUUUAACUUUCACUAUUCACAGGCUAAACUAAAAGCCUUUUCCUCAAAUACCAACUUUUGGCUAUUUUUGUUAAAUUAAUAGACCUAAAAUGUAUAAUCCAGAUUAAUGGUUUACAUUUAAUAACAGAUUGAACAUGUGUUUUCUUUUGUGAUUUAAUUUUAAAAGCAGGCCUGACUGAAUAUGGGACCUGUA
RNAcentral lists this long non-coding RNA (559 nucleotides) under Bos taurus (domestic cattle). RNAcentral's name for it is "long non-coding RNA NONBTAT025557". The record is from RNAcentral. Lineage: Eukaryota; Metazoa; Chordata; Mammalia; Artiodactyla; Bovidae.